This 468-nucleotide ribosomal RNA is filed under the name uncultured bacterium. RNAcentral's name for it is "partial 16S ribosomal RNA". It matches the Rfam family "Bacterial small subunit ribosomal RNA", at positions 28 to 507 of the family's 1533-position model. The record is from RNAcentral.
GACGAACGCUGGCGGCGUGCUUAACACAUGCAAGUCGAACGGAAAGGCCCUGCUCUUGUGGGGUGCUCGAGUGGCGAACGGGUGAGUAACACGUGAGUAACCUGCCCUUGACUUUGGGAUAACUUCAGGGAACUGGGGCUAAUACCGGAUAGGAGCUCCUGCUGCAUGGUGGGGGUUGGAAAGUUUCGGCGGUUGGGGAUGGACUCGCGGCUUAUCAGCUUGUUGGUGGGGUAGUGGCUUACCAAGGCUUUGACGGGUAGCCGGCCUGAGAGGGUGACCGGCCACAUUGGGACUGCGAUACGGCCCAGACUCCUACGGGAGGCAGCAGUGGGGAAUAUUGCACAAUGGGCGGAAGCCUGAUGCAGCAACGCCGCGUGCGGGAUGACGGCCUUCGGGUUGUAAACCGCUUUCGCCUGUGACGAAGCGUGAGUGACGGUAAUGGGUAAAGAAGCACCGGCUAACUACGUG